RNAcentral lists this ribosomal RNA (343 nucleotides) under uncultured Acinetobacter sp. RNAcentral's name for it is "bacterial SSU rRNA". It matches the Rfam family "Bacterial small subunit ribosomal RNA", at positions 1041 to 1382 of the family's 1533-position model. Lineage: Bacteria; Pseudomonadati; Pseudomonadota; Gammaproteobacteria; Moraxellales; Moraxellaceae. The record is from RNAcentral.
CUGCAUGGCUGUCGUCAGCUCGUGUCGUGAGAUGGUUGGGUUAAGUCCCCGCAACGAGCGCUAACCCUUUCCUUAUUUGCCAGCGGGUUAAGCCGGGAACUUUAAGGAUACUGCCAGUGACAACUGGAGGAAGGCGGGGACGACGUCAAGUCAUCAUGGCCCUUACGACCAGGGCUACACACGUGCUACAAUGGUCGGUACAAAGGGUUGCUACCUAGCGAUAGGAUGCUAAUCUCAAAAAGCCGAUCGUAGUCCGGAUUGGAGUCUGCAACUCGACUCCAUGAAGUCGGAAUCGCUAGUAAUCGCGGAUCAGAAUGCCGCGGUGAAUACGUUCCCGGGCCUU